GGGCGGUUCACCACACGUGUUAUCAGAUUAAAACUCUCUUUCAAUCUCUCCGGGGGCCAUAAUUUCAGCCCUUUCUCUCUCUCUCUCUACAAGGUCGCCGCUCCAGCCACAGCUCCACCACCCACUUUGUUUGAACGAACAUUCAUCUGAAUCGUAGUAAACUGAUCUUCGUCAAUCGGGAUUGUUCUUCUGUGUUCUGAGAAAGAAUGAGAAUGGUAUCCAUAGUGGAUUAGAGCAGGAUCAGAAGCUCACUGCUUCCGUCGCAAUCCAGCGACUUAUCCACCACGAAACAUUUGAAUAUCCACACCAUCAUGGUUUAGAUCGGAACUGGUGACUGUAUACGUGUGUUUGUUUUGUAUACCGUAUGUACGCAAAUUGGGCAUGCAAUGUAAUACCAAUUCUCUUUGUGAGAAUUUCUAUUAUAUUGGUGUUGGACAUGAAAGCUUUUCCCAAUAAUGCAUUCAAAGUCAUGCCUAAAUUGCUACCGCGUUGCGUGAGAAAAAAAUAUCACAUUCCUGUUGCGAGCGCGGGGAAAAACUAAGCUAUAAUAAUAAGUGGUGAUUGGUCAUUUGAACGGUCUUGUAUUGUGGCUGUGAUGUUGCUCUGCCAUUUGGCAUGGCAACUUAUGUUGUAGCCAUGGCUGAUCCGAGCCAUCAAUUUUGGAUUUUGGCUCGAUGAUGGCGCGUUUAGGCGCAUCCAAGGGUUUCUUGGUCCGCCCUAUGAUGGCGAUGGGAGCAUACCUUGAUUAUUUCAUUUUGCAGUUUAGAGUUUAGGCUAUGGGGUUAGAGAUGCUGGUGCACUCAUCUUGAAUCCUAAUCAUGUUGAGGCUCAAGCUGCAUUUAUAACAAAGCAUGUUUUCACUCUUAUAGGUAUUGUAAUGAAAUUCAUGUUGGGCCUAUGGGUCAUCCAUUUAGAUCAUGUCAAGGCACAAAUUCUUCACUCCGCAAGGGAACCCACAAGUGAGUAGACGUUGUUGUAGUGGACGUAAUAGUUCAAGCCGAAGCGUAUAAUUGUUUGGGAAAACGUAUCCCACACGAAGAAAGAUUUUCAGUCUGUAGAAUCCCCACACUUAACAGAGCUAUGCAUCCAAGCAGGAGUCGAUAUACCUGAAUACCCAACCCCACAAAAAGAAGAAAACCCAUAAACCGAAUCAAUAAAAGGGAGUUUCUUGAUGGAAAUGAAAGUGAACAUGAAUUCCCUUCUUGUAACAACAUAUAUCAUGAUAACACGACAAAAAAAAAACAUAUUGUAAAUCGCGCAACGCGCGACGAUGAAGAACACUAGUUAUAUUAUUAAUUGAACUAUUGAUCUCAAGAUCCA
Helianthus annuus (common sunflower) is the source of this 1320-nucleotide long non-coding RNA. RefSeq lists it as uncharacterized. Lineage: Eukaryota; Viridiplantae; Streptophyta; Magnoliopsida; Asterales; Asteraceae. The record is from RefSeq and is a predicted model, not a curated record. The transcript has 5 exons.